RNAcentral lists this ribosomal RNA (295 nucleotides) under uncultured bacterium. RNAcentral's name for it is "partial 16S ribosomal RNA". It matches the Rfam family "Bacterial small subunit ribosomal RNA", at positions 29 to 304 of the family's 1533-position model. The record is from RNAcentral.
AACGAACGCUGGCGGCGUGCCUAACACAUGCAAGUCGAGGGAGAAAGCCCGCAAGGGUGAGUAAACCGGCGAACGGGUGCGUAACACGUGGAUAAUCUACCUUCCUGACUGGGACAACUGGCCGAAAGGCUUGCUAAUACCAGAUAACGCCCACGGCGUCUUUGGACGCUGAAGGGAAAGGUGGCCUCUGCAUGCAAGCUAUCACAGGGGAGAUGAGUCCGCGGCCCANCAGCUAGUUGGGACGGGGUAAAAGACCCACCAAGGCUACGACGGGUAGCUGGUCUGAGAGGAUGAU